Molecule: non-coding RNA, 589 nt
Organism: Kogia breviceps (pygmy sperm whale)
Lineage: Eukaryota; Metazoa; Chordata; Mammalia; Artiodactyla; Physeteridae
Source: RefSeq, a predicted model, not a curated record
GCAAGCUGGAGGCCCAGGAAAGCCCACGGUGUAUACAGCUAUAGUCCAAGUCCAAAGGCCUGAGAACCAGGGGAGCCAGUGGUAUAAGUCCCAAUCCGAGAAUGAAGGUCCGAGAACCAGGAGUGCUGAUGUCUGAAUGCAGAAGAAGAUAAAUGUUCCAGCUCAAGCAGAGAGUGUAAUCACUCCCGCCAGAGAGAGCGGUCCAUAUGCCUUUCAGAAGCCAGCGAAUCGCAAGAGAGAACAUUUCCACCGAAUCUUGGUCAAAUACUUCCAAAGGCAAACGGCUUUCUGGAGAGUGUAUCAGGAGCUGCCUUGGCACAUGAAGAUGAGCGGCUGCUGGGAGGAUUUGUGCAGCUUUCCCUCAAGUCCUAGUGCUGAAAUGCAGACUUUCUGAGGUUACUGCCACUGACAAAUGCCGGAUUAAUGUUCUUUAUUGCGAGAUUUCUGAAGCUUCUGGGCAAGACCAAUGAAGCAGAAGAGUUAUUCUUGAGUGUUGAGAACAUGUUAGUGCAGGUAUACUGAGAAAUAAUUUUUUAAAUCCUUCAAACGUUAUUCAAUUUGUGUUAGGUAUUUUCAGAUAUCAUUUACC